RNAcentral lists this unclassified non-coding RNA (90 nucleotides) under Pseudomonas sp. A214. The record is from RNAcentral. Lineage: Bacteria; Pseudomonadati; Pseudomonadota; Gammaproteobacteria; Pseudomonadales; Pseudomonadaceae.
UGUGGGAGCGAGCCUGCUCGCGAUGGCGGUCUGUCAGCCAACAUCAUUUUUGAAGGUGAAAUCGCUAUCGCGAGCAGGCUCGCUCCCACA